ACGCUGGCGGCAGGCCUAACACAUGCAAGUCGAGCGGCAGCCGGGUACUUGUACCUGGUGGCGAGCGGCGGACGGGUGAGUAAUGCCUAGGAAUCUGCCUGGUAGUGGGGGAUAACGCUCGGAAACGGACGCUAAUACCGCAUACGUCCUACGGGAGAAAGCAGGGGACCUUCGGGCCUUGCGCUAUCAGAUGAGCCUAGGUCGGAUUAGCUAGUUGGUGGGGUAAUGGCUCACCAAGGCGACGAUCCGUAACUGGUCUGAGAGGAUGAUCAGUCACACUGGAACUGAGACACGGUCCAGACUCCUACGGGAGGCAGCAGUGGGGAAUAUUGGACAAUGGGCGAAAGCCUGAUCCAGCCAUGCCGCGUGUGUGAAGAAGGUCUUCGGAUUGUAAAGCACUUUAAGUUGGGAGGAAGGGCAGUUACCUAAUACGUAUCUGUUUUGACGUUACCGACAGAAUAAGCACCGGCUAACUCUGUGCCAGCAGCCGCGGUAAUACAGAGGGUGCAAGCGUUAAUCGGAAGUACUGGGCGUAAAGCGCGCGUAGGUGGUUUGUUAAGUUGAAUGUGAGAUCCCCGGGCUCAACCUGGGAACUGCAUGCAAAACUGGCAAGCUAGAGUAUGGUAGAGGGUGGUGGAAUUUCCUGUGUAGCGGUGAAAUGCGUAGAUAUAGGAAGGAACACCAGUGGCGAAGGCGACCACCUGGACUGAUACUGACACUGAGGUGCGAAAGCGUGGGGAGCAAAC
This 746-nucleotide ribosomal RNA is filed under the name uncultured bacterium. RNAcentral describes it as "bacterial SSU rRNA". It matches the Rfam family "Bacterial small subunit ribosomal RNA", at positions 33 to 773 of the family's 1533-position model. The record is from RNAcentral.